AGUGUGGCACGGAGCUGAUGAGCGCAACCAACCCAUCGUGCUCUGCUCUCGGGGUAGGGGUGGGAACACCCCCUGCCGCCCCUCCUGCACCGCCGGUGGGGCAGUAGCGCUGCGUCCACCCCACACCUGUACCCGCGGUGGGGCGCGACCCCCUCCCUCACUACCAGGGAGAGGAUACAGUACCGCAGGGGGGGCACACAGCUCCCGCCCACCCCGAGGGGACGCGGCAGCUCUUCCCUCAGCUCCUCCGCCGCCGCCGGUCCCGGUCCCCCUCUGCUGCCGCCGGGCGUCCACCCCAUGGCUGCGGGACGGGCCGGGGCCGUGCCUCCACCCCCGCUGCUGCUGCUGCUGCUUGCGCUGCCCGGCCCGGGGCCGGCAGGUGAGAACACGGAGUUGCCUCCCUUCUCUGCAACAGGAGGACAGCACCCCGCCCCAGAGGAUACGGUGUCACCAGUUCUCAGUGCUACAGUCAUAAUCAUUGUCACCGUCGUCAUAUCUGGGAGUGCUUACCUGUGCUUCCUGAAAUACAUCUGCUCUGGAUGCUGCAAAGCUACCCAGGUGGUACCUACCAGAAGACUCGAUCCUAGCAGGUCUGAAGAACAAGUCUAGCCUCACCUCAACAUCCUAUCGGGUGAUUAUUGAGCUGUGCUAAGGCACUGCUGUAACUAUGAAAUAUCAGAAAGCAAAGGAGACUGCUAUUCAAUCAAGUUAUUCUUGAAAUCUGCUAUUUGUAAGUUAGUUGUAGGAUUCUGUAUUUAAGCUGUGUCAGAGAGGCAGGAGGGAAUAAAGUAGUACUUAGUUCUGCUGUGCUGAGUGUAAUGAUAAGGUGAUAUUUUCGAACUGGAUCUUGAUCUGUUGUCCCAGGACAACGCAGUACUCAACCUAGAACACAUAAGAUGGAACAUUCAGAAUUUCUCAUGGAUGAUGGCAGCACUGAGGGACAUUGUUUAAUGGGCAUGGUGGUGAUGGGUUGAUGGUUGGACUUCAUAAUCUGAGAGGUCUUUUCCAACCUUAAUGAUUCUAUGUUUGGCUUGUUCUGUUCUAUGUUUGUUCUACUUAAUAUGAAGGAUUUCCCACACUGUUUCCUUUGUACACGUAGUUGGUUCUUCCUAGGUAUAAGGAAUCUUCUUCAGAAGUUUUCUGGUGAAUUGCUAAUAUAGGUCACAUUUUCCAGCACUAUUUGGCACUUUGAAAAUGUCUUUCAUCCUCUGAUAAAAUAAGGUUCAAUGCACUUUCCUUGAUACUGCUCUGCUUUCGUAUCUGAUAAUGAACACAGAAUUCCAGAGAUCUGCCAUUGCUAUCAAACAUUCUCUAUAGGUGCAGUGAGAGAGAAAGAGAACAGGGCUGGAUACCUUGAGAGUGUCUGAAUUUGGCAAACACAAACUGGACAAACUUUUAGAGCUCCAAAGUCCAGACUUUGGUCUCCAUAUACAGGUAUCUGAAUGACACACUACAGUUUGCAAUAUAUCAGAGGGCAAAAUAGAUGAUCUAGUGAUCCUCUGACAUUAAAUAUGUGCCAGCAAGUACUCACAUUUCUGGCAGCAAUAGCUCUCUAAAAGUCCAUGUGUUGCUUUUUCCAUGCUGUGGAAACAUUCCUGAUUUGCCUUGUGACCAAGCUGCUACUGGGCAUCUAUCUGCACCACAACUAUAUUGAACACUUUGUAAAGUUCUCAGCUGAUAACAUUAUGGCUAUGCAAGUGCUAUUCCUCCAAUUACAUGUUCUAUCCAGUUAAGUGAAUGCUUGAAACACGUUAGCUGGGGUCGGGGUGGAAGGAUGAAAUAGAAAAUGAAUGUGAAGUUUUUUGACAGCUGAGAAAAUGGUGUUCAGAAAAAUAUACCAGUGGAAUGAUUCUUCUUGAUGCAUGUCAGCUUCAGUUGAACAGGGAAGCACUGAAAAACUUUUUUGGAAGAAAAAGGAAAUUUUGGGAUUUGCCAUGCUGAUCCAAAAGGAAAAAGAAGUAUAGAUAAAUAAAGGUAAACAUUCAGAGAUGGCAUGGCAUCAAGUCUUUGAAAUGUGUGUUGUUUACCGUUAGCAUGACCACUUCCCAGUUAAAACAAAACCUGAACACUUGUGGCCUUUGUUUUUACAAUAAGAAGCUCAAAAAAAAAAAAAAAAAAAAAAAAAGGGAUAAUUGAAAUACUCAUGAGGAAAAUCUGAAAGAGAAAACAGCUCUCGGUUUUACAAAUCUGCAUGUGUGGGAUAAGCCACUUCAUAGUUUCUGAAGAGUUGAGUUGCCAACACUGGAUGCCAGGCAGGUUUUGGACCUAAUCUACGUCCUUUGGGCAUCCAGCGCUCCUAAUCCCAACUGUGAAGAUGAAAUACAAGAGCCAGAACCAAUGUUAUUGUGGGGGAGAGCCAACAAAAAACAAUGCAGGCCUGCGUUCAGAUCUGGAUAUCGUUGCAUGGAUAAAAUGCGUUAUAUUUAUUCAGAUUGCACCUGCUAUAUCAGCAGUAUUUACAUUCAAAUUAAUGGUCAUUUAUUGUGCCGAGUCAACAGUGCAUAUUGUGGUUUGUCUCUUAAAUCUCCAUGUAUCUCAGUAGCUGUGUGUAGAUACGUCACUAAUAGUAAGCAAGAGCUGUUUUGUACCAGAUGAAGACUGACCUUGAGAAAUCUACUUCACAGCUGUGCAUACUGGUGAAGAAAACAAAAUAAAUCUUGAUUUCUCUUUCUUUGUGUAAAA
Long non-coding RNA from Gallus gallus (chicken), 2682 nucleotides. RefSeq lists it as uncharacterized. The transcript has 2 exons. NCBI's taxonomy places the organism in Eukaryota, Metazoa, Chordata, Aves, Galliformes, Phasianidae. The record is from RefSeq and is a predicted model, not a curated record.